Molecule: unclassified non-coding RNA, 352 nt
Filed under: soil metagenome
Description: partial contains 5.8S ribosomal RNA, internal transcribed spacer 2, and large subunit ribosomal RNA
Rfam family: 5.8S ribosomal RNA (bases 1-120)
Source: RNAcentral
GAUGAAGAACGCAGCAAAAUGCGAUAAGUAAUGUGAAUUGCAGAAUUCAGUGAAUCAUCGAAUCUUUGAACGCACAUUGCGCCCGCCAGUAUUCUGGCGGGCAUGCCUGUUCGAGCGUCAUUACAACCCUCAGGCCCCCGGGCCUGGCGUUGGGGAUCGGCAGAAGCCCCCUGUGGGCACACGCCGUCCCUCAAAUACAGUGGCGGUCCCGCCGCAGCUUCCAUUGCGUAGUAGCUAACACCUCGCAACUGGAGAGCGGCGCGGCCAUGCCGUAAAACACCCAACUUCUGAAUGUUGACCUCGAAUCAGGUAGGAAUACCCGCUGAACUUAAGCAUAUCAAUAAGCGGAGGA